RNAcentral lists this ribosomal RNA (910 nucleotides) under uncultured bacterium. Its description in RNAcentral is "bacterial SSU rRNA". It matches the Rfam family "Bacterial small subunit ribosomal RNA", at positions 8 to 916 of the family's 1533-position model. The record is from RNAcentral.
AGAGUUUGAUCCUGGCUCAGAUUGAACGCUGGCGGCAUGCUUUACACAUGCAAGUCGAACGGCAGCGCGGGGCAACCUGGCGGCGAGUGGCGAACGGGUGAGUAAUAUAUCGGAACGUACCCAAGAGUGGGGGAUAACGUAGCGAAAGUUACGCUAAUACCGCAUACGAUCUCAGGAUGAAAGCAGGGGACCGCAAGGCCUUGUGCUCCUGGAGCGGCCGAUAUCUGAUUAGCUAGUUGGUGAGGUAAAGGCUCACCAAGGCGACGAUCAGUAGCUGGUCUGAGAGGACGACCAGCCACACUGGAACUGAGACACGGUCCAGACUCCUACGGGAGGCAGCAGUGGGGAAUUUUGGACAAUGGGCGCAAGCCUGAUCCAGCAAUGCCGCGUGAGUGAAGAAGGCCUUCGGGUUGUAAAGCUCUUUUGUCAGGGAAGAAACGGUCGAGGUUAAUACCUUCGGCUAAUGACGGUACCUGAAGAAUAAGCACCGGCUAACUACGUGCCAGCAGCCGCGGUAAUACGUAGGGUGCAAGCGUUAAUCGGAAUUACUGGGCGUAAAGCGUGCGCAGGCGGUUUUGUAAGUCUGAUGUGAAAUCCCCGGGCUCAACCUGGGAAUUGCAUUGGAGACUGCAAGGCUAGAAUCUGGCAGAGGGGGGUAGAAUUCCACGUGUAGCAGUGAAAUGCGUAGAGAUGUGGAGGAACACCGAUGGCGAAGGCAGCCCCCUGGGUCAAGAUUGACGCUCAUGCACGAAAGCGUGGGGAGCAAACAGGAUUAGAUACCCUGGUAGUCCACGCCCUAAACGAUGUCUACUAGUUGUCGGGUUUUAAUUAACUUGGUAACGCAGCUAACGCGUGAAGUAGACCGCCUGGGGAGUACGGUCGCAAGAUUAAAACUCAAAUGAAUUGACGG